UCAGAACGAACGCUGGCGGCAGGCUUAACACAUGCAAGUCGAGCGCCCCGCAAGGGGAGCGGCAGACGGGUGAGUAACGCGUGGGAAUCUACCCUUUUCUACGGAAUAACGCAGGGAAACUUGUGCUAAUACCGUAUAAGCCCUUCGGGGGAAAGAUUUAUCGGGAAAGGAUGAGCCCGCGUUGGAUUAGCUAGUUGGUGGGGUAAAGGCCUACCAAGGCGACGAUCCAUAGCUGGUCUGAGAGGAUGAUCAGCCACAUUGGGACUGAGACACGGCCCAAACUCCUACGGGAGGCAGCAGUGGGGAAUAUUGGACAAUGGGCGCAAGCCUGAUCCAGCCAUGCCGCGUGAGUGAUGAAGGCCCUAGGGUUGUAAAGCUCUUUCACCGGUGAAGAUAAUGA
This 400-nucleotide ribosomal RNA is filed under the name Ensifer sp. NH30B. Its description in RNAcentral is "bacterial SSU rRNA". It matches the Rfam family "Bacterial small subunit ribosomal RNA", at positions 24 to 454 of the family's 1533-position model. The record is from RNAcentral. Lineage: Bacteria; Pseudomonadati; Pseudomonadota; Alphaproteobacteria; Hyphomicrobiales; Rhizobiaceae.